GGGCACGUAGCCCAACUGGAUAGAGCACCGCGAUUUUACGCGGAUGGACAUGGGUUCAAUUCCCGUCGUGUUCC
RNAcentral lists this transfer RNA (74 nucleotides) under Phytophthora megakarya. It matches the Rfam family "tRNA". From Rfam's summary of the family: Transfer RNA (tRNA) molecules are approximately 80 nucleotides in length. Their secondary structure includes four short double-helical elements and three loops (D, anti-codon, and T loops). The record is from Rfam by way of RNAcentral. Lineage: Eukaryota; Oomycota; Peronosporomycetes; Peronosporales; Peronosporaceae.